CCUACGGGAGGCAGCAGUGGGGAAUAUUGCACAAUGGGCGCAAGCCUGAUGCAGCCAUGCCGCGUGUGUGAAGAAGGCCUUCGGGUUGUAAAGCACUUUCGGCGGGGAGGAAGGCGGUGAGGUUAAUAACCUCAUCGAUUGACGUUACCCGCAGAAGAAGCACCGGCUAACUCCGUGCCAGCAGCCGCGGUAAUACGGAGGGUGCAAGCGUUAAUCGGAAUUACUGGGCGUAAAGCGCACGCAGGCGGUCUGUCAAGUCGGAUGUGAAAUCCCCGGGCUCAACCUGGGAACUGCAUUCGAAACUGGCAGGCUAGAGUCUUGUAGAGGGGGGUAGAAUUCCAGGUGUAGCGGUGAAAUGCGUAGAGAUCUGGAGGAAUACCGGUGGCGAAGGCGGCCCCCUGGACAAAGACUGACGCUCAGGUGCGAAAGCGUGGGGAGCAAACAGGAUUAGAUACCCGGGUAGUC
This 465-nucleotide ribosomal RNA is filed under the name uncultured Klebsiella sp. RNAcentral's name for it is "bacterial SSU rRNA". It matches the Rfam family "Bacterial small subunit ribosomal RNA", at positions 338 to 795 of the family's 1533-position model. The record is from RNAcentral. Lineage: Bacteria; Pseudomonadati; Pseudomonadota; Gammaproteobacteria; Enterobacterales; Enterobacteriaceae.